This 71-nucleotide transfer RNA is filed under the name Nanobdellota archaeon. RNAcentral describes it as "tRNA-Ala". It matches the Rfam family "tRNA". Rfam says of the family: Transfer RNA (tRNA) molecules are approximately 80 nucleotides in length. Their secondary structure includes four short double-helical elements and three loops (D, anti-codon, and T loops). Further hydrogen bonds mediate the characteristic L-shaped molecular structure. tRNAs have two regions of fundamental functional importance: the anti-codon, which is responsible for specific mRNA codon recognition, and the 3' end, to which the tRNAs corresponding amino acid is attached (by aminoacyl-tRNA synthetases). tRNAs cope with the degeneracy of the genetic code in two manners: having more than one tRNA (with a specific anti-codon) for a particular amino acid; and 'wobble' base-pairing, i.e. permitting non-standard base-pairing at the 3rd anti-codon position. Lineage: Archaea; Nanobdellati; Nanobdellota. The record is from RNAcentral.
GGGCUCGUAGUCCAACGGUAGAACACCUGUCUUGCACACAGGAGUUCCGGGUUCGAUUCCCGGCGAGUCCA